UGGCCAAGAGAUGUGAUUUGAAGAUCAGCUAGCUGUGUGUCCCUUCUGUGGUGCUUGUUGAAAUUAUAGAAACAAGAUGAAUGAAAUGCAGGCGAGGGGAACAGGUUGAUCAAUGAAGCAACUUACCACCAGGUGAGAAGACGUGGAGGUUUCCUCAAGCAAAGAGUGGCUGCGCAACAGGAGCAUACUGAUUUACUGAAUGUGGAUGGUGCUUUCUUUCUUCCAGGUGAAAUGUGCUGAAAGUGGAUAUUGAUGGUGUUUUUUUCUUCUUCCAGGAAAUGCGACAAAACAUGGCGGCUAUAGCUUUGCUCUAUUAUACUAUUCUGUAGGCCCUGCUGGGUGAUGAUGCCUUGAAGCUUCAGUGACAAGUAUGGCCUGACGGUGGCACGAGUUCUGUUAAGGGAAGCUCCUAUUUUUCUCUUUUUUGAAUUUUGCAAGUUAAGUAAUCCUUUUAGUAUUGUACUAUUGAUGUGAAUAAACAAGCAUAUGGUAGUUUAAUCAUUUUUUGCAUCUUGUUGGAUCUUCACUUGGGUGUGAACAGUUUGUAUGAAUUCUGAACUCUGAAUUUGAAUCAGAGCUGAGCAUUAACUCUGAAUCUUUCAGACUCCAUGUGCGAACUCUGAAUCAUAUUAUAACCUAUUCAAGCGUGAAGCUAUAGUAAGCACUUAGAAAUCUUUCAGGAGCCUAGGUUUAACUCGAACCAGAGCAGAAAGUUAACAGCAAUCUUACAACAAAGUUUGUAAAAUGUGCGCCCCCGCACAGAACAACAUAUUCUAUAUUUGGUUGCCAGAAGCUAAAAGGGUAAACUUCUAUGUAUGAUCCCUUCAACCUUUUCCAUCAUUACAGCAGCAUCUGUAUGACAAAGAGUUCUUAUGUUUUCAGAAUAUUGGGACUGGGCUUUCCUAAUUAUGAUGAGAAAUCACUUUCUUAUCCUAAAUACAUCAGUGAUUAGAGGAUUUUGAUUCUCCUUCCGUUUUCAUAAAUGUCCAAUUUAGUCUAUUAAAAUAGUUAUAUUUUCAUAAAAGUUCACCAAAAGCGAAAUGUCAUUUUUAUUAGUUUCACUGUCAGCGGAUAGAACUGUUUUACCUUCAAGUGUAAAGCGUACGUUUAGUAUCUAAAAAAUGUAUUGAAGGCAUGUGAUGAAAUCCAAGUGCAAAGGCUAGCUGAUUUGGAUCAUUCUUAUUUUGUGGAAUCUAUUUGUCCAACAUUUAUGCAUAUUUAUUUACAGUAGAUAAAUAAACUUCACUACUGAACUUACUGCAUGAAGGAAAUGUGCUGACAGUUACAGCUCCUGAAUUAAUCCUGAAAAACUCACGCAAGAGGCCAUGAUGAGCAAUCGACGCGACGGGGACCAGGAGAAGGAGAAGAGCAGCAACCAACUCGGUAUGGUGCCACGUACGGGGAUUCAGUUCAACUCAAUAAUCGGAGAGAAGAGCAGCACAAGAUAGCCCAAACUACAGCCACAUCAAGCGCUCCUAGGUAGGUCCUGAGAUGCAGCAGGGAAUGUACCUAGCUACAGAUCGUCGAAACAACACGGCCAAUAAGUGUGGGAGAUUGCUUAAAAGGCAGGGAGGAGUAGGAGGUUGCUUGUUCCAGGAGGAGACGAAGCAUGGCACCGGCUGGGGCUUUUAUCUAGUGUUUGCCAACUGAACAUCUGUUCACAUUGCUCCCUCUCCGAUCUCCUCUAGAUCAUGCCUCGGUCCGUCCGCUUGCUUUUCUGAGAAGACAUGCCCUUGGAACACCGUCGGCUGGGCUCUUGACGCGGCGAAGUUAUAUCGGUCAGUCUGUACCCCAGAAAAUUCCCUCAAAAGAAAAGGUCUGUACCCCAUAAAACUAAUCUUGGCUGCUUCAAAAUAUGUAGAAACAUGUUUGUUUGAGCAUACUGUAUGUAAUCCAGAUCCAGUUGUGACCAAAUAUUAACCAGCAUACCACUAUGAGCUGCAAUAUUAAGAAUUAUUCGCUGCCCAAGCCCCAAGGUACCCGACCACACAACACAACAUCAUACUACGAACGCAAGAGAGACAAACAUUUGUUUCCCCAGAGUUCGAGGAGGAGAGAAAAUAAAUAGAGAAGGAAGAACAGACUAAACCAAGCCAAAGGAUCACCGCUUCUUUGCCACAUGCAGUAUAACAGAGAGGAACAAAGGGAAAAUGUUGGCUGGAGUUAUCAUCACAACAUAAUCAUCUCAAAUUUAGUCCACUUCAUCACUAAAAAGAUGAUCUACAUGGUGAAGACACGGAGCUUGGUUACCCUGUAUGAUUUCUCUGUUCUGCUUGGUCUUUUCAUGUCAUACUAUGGUGGAUAUAUUAGACAUAUCUUGUCCAGUGACAUGUUAUUCUUUCAACUACGUCGAAUCAAUGCCCUCUUUAUACUUGAUUGAUGAAGUGACUUACCAGGAGGCGAGAAGACCGGGGAGCUUUUCCUUGAGUGAAGUGUCAGGGAAAUAAACAACAUCUUUUUUUUUUUGCAGGUGAAACAAGAACAUAUCGACUGGUUUACCGAAUGUUGUAGGAGAAGAUGUGCUGAGACGGGAUGUAGAAGAUUCAUGGUGCUUUCUUCUUGUUCCAGGAGAUCGCGAAGCAUGGCAGAUGGGGCUUUGCUAUGCCCGCUGCCCUGAAGCAGCUUAAGCGACAAGUAUGACCUGAUGUGACUGAAGCAGAGUUCUAUUAAGACAAGAAGCUCCUUCUUGUAUAUUGUGCCGCAUUGCCCGAUUCCAGAGUCAGCUCAGCUGAGUGAGGCGGCCUGAACAAACAACAAGUUGAGCGAACAAUCAAUUCGACGUGGUAUGAUUUUUCUACUCUGAUCCCGAAUAUAAACCAGAGCCGAAAGGUUAGCUCUUAGACUCUGAAAUUUUCGGGCUUGAUGGUUGAGGUCUGAAAUUUAUUACACCAAGGCAAUUGUGAUUGCUGCUAUCUACUAUCGGAAAAAUUCCAAAACAGACCUUGAAGUUGUCGAGGAAAGCUAAACCAAACCCUGAACUUUGAAUCCUGGAAAUUGGCACUAUAAACUUGUAA
Triticum dicoccoides is the source of this 3014-nucleotide long non-coding RNA. RefSeq lists it as uncharacterized. Lineage: Eukaryota; Viridiplantae; Streptophyta; Magnoliopsida; Poales; Poaceae. The transcript is spliced from 3 exons. The record is from RefSeq and is a predicted model, not a curated record.